This is a long non-coding RNA of Manis pentadactyla (Chinese pangolin), 1139 nucleotides long. RefSeq lists it as uncharacterized. Lineage: Eukaryota; Metazoa; Chordata; Mammalia; Pholidota; Manidae. The record is from RefSeq and is a predicted model, not a curated record. The transcript is spliced from 3 exons.
GAUAAAACCGAGAGGGAUCUGAACUGCGGCUCUGCACCUCAUUUCAAAGCCUGUGGGACUAAAGCCAAGCAAUAACAGAACGUGCAGUACUUGAUUGGAAGGUUUUGGGUUGAAGUGCAGGAUGAAAUGCCUGAAGCUUGAUGAAUGAUGCAGUGGAGAAAUCGACUGAAACCUUGAUUGGCCACAGCCAGUGUCACUGAUGAAGGACAAAUGGACUCCGUGUGCGGACAGGGGUGACGGUCCAAGAAGGACAGAGCAUCGCAAAUCCGCAGCGUCCUGUCUGGAAACGCAGGGCCGGGAGCCGGUCCUGAGCGAACAUCAACACGCCAUGCAUGUUCUGUUGAAAGGGGGCAGCGGGUACUGUAUUCCUUAAAACUGCCACAGUCAGAGAAGAAAAAGGCUAAGGACAUGUUCUAGGUGAAGGGAACUGAGAAGCCUGGUCACCCAAGUGCAAUGCCUGCCCCUCGGUGGAGUCCUGUCCUGGGGCCAGAAGUUGUAAAGGACACCAUGGGGCCGCCUGCAGACCCGGAAUACGGACAGCAGACGAGGCACAGAACAGCACUCUGGUCUGGACACUGGCCCUCCUGCACCGCGUGACGGCCUCGUAUCGAAUCCAGCAGACUUAGGAACUGACAGUCCUGUAAGCCUGCUUCCCGGGAGCAGAGCAGCUCUGCCGGCCCAUCUACCUGCUGCUUUGAGAAGCACAUUGAUCCCGUCUAUUUUACCAAUCCUGAUUCACUUUUGAAUUGAAAGCCUUGGUUGGUUAAUAUAUUUUUAGGAUGUUCGAAUUCUGAAGAUGAAAGUUUUCAACCUCUAUUUUCUAAAAUCUUGGAAUAGAAUUUGUGUUCUUGAAAACUUAAUGUUAACCAAGGCUUCAUGUCUGCAUGAGGUGGAGAGGCAUGGAGCACAAGGAAAAGGUGGCUGAGGGUCUCUUUUCGGGAUCAUCUAUUAUCCUACAGUUCUGGCCCAAACAAACACCUCCAUCACUCCCAGUGAAGGUCUACAACUCUGUAUAGCUGUGAAAUGAUACAAGUAAAAUAGCUGUGCUUUGAGAGAAGUACUUUCAGGGUAACUGAAUUAAUCAAGAAGUAUUUUCUUUAACAGUUAAAUCACCUUCAGAAAUCCAUAGAAUUGUGGAA